GAAAGCCUGACGGAGCAAGACCGCGUGGGGGAAGAAGGCUCUUGGGUUGUAAACUCCUUUUCUCUGGGAAGAACAAAAUGACGGUACCAGAGGAAUCAGCAUCGGCUAACUCCGUGCCAGCAGCCGCGGUAAGACGGGGGAUGCAAGUGUUAUCCGGAAUCACUGGGCGUAAAGCGUCUGUAGGUGGUCAAAUAAGUCAACUGUUAAAUCUUGAGGCUCAACCUCAAAAUCGCAGUCGAAACUAUUCGACUAGAGUAUAGUAGGGGUAAAGGGAAUUUCCAGUGGAGCGGUGAAAUGCGUAGAGAUUGGAAAGAACACCGAUGGCGAAGGCACUUUACUGGGCUAUUACUAACACUGAGAGACGAAAGCUAG
RNAcentral lists this ribosomal RNA (372 nucleotides) under uncultured cyanobacterium. Its description in RNAcentral is "bacterial SSU rRNA". It matches the Rfam family "Bacterial small subunit ribosomal RNA", at positions 377 to 763 of the family's 1533-position model. The record is from RNAcentral. Lineage: Bacteria; Bacillati; Cyanobacteriota.